UUCAAGUCGAGCGAAUGGAUUAAGAGCUUGCUCUUAUGAAGUUAGCGGCGGACGGGUGAGUAACACGUGGGUAACCUGCCCAUAAGACUGGGAUAACUCCGGGAAACCGGGGCUAAUACCGGAUAACAUUUUGAACCGCAUGGUUCGAAAUUGAAAGGCGGCUUCGGCUGUCACUUAUGGAUGGACCCGCGUCGCAUUAGCUAGUUGGUGAGGUAACGGCUCACCAAGGCAACGAUGCGUACCCGACCUGAGAGGGUGAUCGGCCACACUGGGACUGAGACACGGCCCACACUCCUACGGGAGGCAGCAGUAGGGAAUCUUCCGCAAUGGACGAAAGUCUGACGGAGCAACGCCGCGUGAGUGAUGAAGGCUUUCGGGUCGUAAAACUCUGUUGUUAGGGAAAACAAGUGCUAGUUGAAUAACUGGCACCUUGACGGUACCUAACCAGAAAGCCACGGUAACUACGUGCCAGCAGCCGCGGUAAUACGUAGGUGGCAAGCGUUAUCCGGAAUUAUGGGCGUAAAGCGCGCGCAGGUGGUUUCUUAAUUCUGAUGUGAAACCCACGGCUCAACCGUGGAGGGUCAUUGAAACUGGGAGACUUGAGUGCAGAAGAGGAAAGUGGAAUUCCAUGUGUAGCGAUGAAAUGCGUANAGAUAUGGAGGAACACCAGUGGCGAAGGCACUUUCUGGUCUGUAACUGACACUGAGGCGCGAAAGCGUGGGAGCAAACAGGAUUAGAUACGCUGGUAGUCCACGCCGUAACGAUGAGUGCUAAGUGUUAGAGGGUUUCCGCCCUUUAGUGCUGAAGUUAACGCAUUAAGCACUCCGCCUGAGGAGUACGGCCGCAUGAUGAUACUCAGAGGAGUUGACGGGCCGCCCGCACAAGCGGUGGAGCAUGUUGUUUACUUCGCAGCAACGCGAACAUCAUUACCAGGUCCGACAUCUCUGACACCCUAGAGAUAGGGCUUCUCCUUCGGGAGC
This 980-nucleotide ribosomal RNA is filed under the name Bacillus cereus. RNAcentral describes it as "bacterial SSU rRNA". It matches the Rfam family "Bacterial small subunit ribosomal RNA", at positions 56 to 1027 of the family's 1533-position model. Lineage: Bacteria; Bacillati; Bacillota; Bacilli; Caryophanales; Bacillaceae. The record is from RNAcentral.